AAACCAACCGGGAUUGCCCUAGUAACGGCGAGUGAAGCGGCAAAAGCUCAAAUUUGAAAUCUGGCAUCUUUGAUGUCCGAGUUGUAAUUUGAAGAGGUUACUUUGGAGGCUGGCUCUUGUCUAUGUUCCUUGGAACAGGACGUCAUGGAGGGUGAGAAUCCCGUCUGGCGAGAGUUUCAGUUUUCAUGUAAAGUAGCAUUCGACGAGUCGAGUUGUUUGGGAAUGCAGCUCUAAGUGGGUGGUAAAUUCCAUCUAAAGCUAAAUAUUGGCGAGAGACCGAUAGCGAACAAGUACAGUGAUGGAAAGAUGAAAAGAACUUUGAAAAGAGAGUGAAAAAGUACGUGAAAUUGUUGAAAGGGAAGGGCAUUUGAUCAGACAUGGUGUUUCGUGCUUCUUGCUCCUUGUGGGCGGGGAGACUCACACGGUUCACUGGGCCAACAUCAGUUUUGGCAGCAGGAUAAAACUUUGGGAACGUAGCUUUCUUCGGGAAGUGUUAUAGCCCUUGGCAAUACUGCUAGCCGGGAUUGAGGACUGCGCAUUUAUGCAAGGAUGUUGGCUUAAUGGUUAAAUGCCGC
Molecule: ribosomal RNA, 575 nt
Filed under: Saccharomycodes ludwigii
Lineage: Eukaryota; Fungi; Ascomycota; Saccharomycetes; Saccharomycodales; Saccharomycodaceae
Description: eukaryotic LSU rRNA
Rfam family: Eukaryotic large subunit ribosomal RNA
Source: RNAcentral